RNAcentral lists this long non-coding RNA (4193 nucleotides) under Fragaria vesca (wild strawberry). RNAcentral's name for it is "long non-coding RNA (FVES_LNC001504)". Lineage: Eukaryota; Viridiplantae; Streptophyta; Magnoliopsida; Rosales; Rosaceae. The record is from RNAcentral.
UGAAUUUGAUAUACAAUUUGCUCUUAAGCAGGCUAUGGGCAGUACAUAUGCAUAUAUUUCCUCUGUCUAAUUUGAUGUUGUGCAAUGCGCAAAGCAGCUUAGUUUCAUAUUGUGCGAGUGAUGUGGAAAAUAAAAGCAUAUAUACAGCAAUCAAUACAGCUGAAUUUGAUAAACAAUUUUCUAGAACAUACAUACAUUUCAAGCUGCGUAUUUUAUAAAAAGAAAAGAGUGCAAGUUCGAAACCUUCGGGAAUUGGAGGAACAGGCAGCCGGUUCUUAAUAAAAUAUGCCAACUCUUGAGUGGUGUAGAGCCUUCUAGGGGGCAGAAAAUGUUGGUUGUUGUGGAUUUGCAGGUUCGGAAGCUUCUCGACAGAAUGAAGCUUGACCAUCCAACCGUCACAGAAUGAAGCUUGACCAUCCAAAAUGUUUAAAAACCUGUUAGAAACACAAGCUCACGACACAAAUUGGGACAUUCAAGACUAGCAACAAACACAAGAAAACUUUGAAACUCCAACAAAGCCAAAAGGGGAGGGUUUAAAGUUACCUGCUCUCAUUCCAUUAUGACCAUCGGCGCCGCGCACAGCGUCCUUGGCGUCGUAGAGGUCUUCAAAAGUCACAAACGCCCGGGUUCGCCCCAUCCUUACUUCCACCAACUUUCCAAACUUACCGAACACCUUUCGGACAUCUUCUUCUGUGUCGCUAAACUGGAGAUUUUCCACCAUAACGGUCGCCAUUGGAUGGGUCAGAGAAAUUUUUUGGUUUGAGCUCCAGCCAGCACACUGAGAGAAAGCCAAGCCACAGCCUGAGACAGAGUACAAAAUCAGUAUUGGAUAUUUCUUGAUAAACAUACCAUCCGCUUACACCUCUAUAAUAUUUUGAAUUUCUUAUUUCCUAAAAACUCCAUAAAAAUCAGUAGAUGAGCAAUGAAAAAGAAAAGUCAUUAACACUGUGCAAAUAUGGUGCACUGUACUAAGGCUGUAUGUACCAAGACUAUAAUAGUAGAAAGACUUUGAGGGAUGAACUUCCCUUUAGGCAUGUGGAAGGUAAGGGGUUUCAAGAAUUUAUGUUUGAAGCUCAGCCACAGUGGGCGCAACCAAGUAGGAAGUUAGUUGCAAAGGGAGUGUGGAUUUGUACCAAUCUGAGAAGGGAAAGAUGAUGUCUAUCUUUGAAAAACAUGCAAACAGAGUUAGUGUUACCACUGACACUUGGACAUCAAUUCAAAACAUUAACUACAUGGUGGUUACUGCCCAUUUCAUGGACGAUGACCGGAGGUCUGGAAGUUACACAAAAGGAUUAUUAACUUUUGUUCAAUUACCAGUCACAAAGGGGAAGAUAUAGGGAAGGGAGAAUGGGAUAUCAGUAGGGUGUUCACCAUCACAGUGGACAAUGCUAGUACAAAUGACGUAGCAGUUGCAAACAUGAAAACAAGGCUGAGUGACACUUUGACUUUUAAUGGGGACUUUUUGCACCUUAGAUGUGCAUGUCACAUCAUAAACUUGAUUGUCAAGGAUGGCAUUGAAGAAAUUGAGGAUGACAUCGAUGCAACCUGGCAUUGUGUCAAGUUUAUUAGGUCAAGUUCCUGUCGGUUAGACAAGUAUAGAGAUUUUGCUGUGCUUGAGCGCCGGAGUAAGAAUGCAAAUGUUCCCCUAGAUGUUAUCACUAGGUGGAAUAGCACUUAUUUAAUGCUUGAGGCAGCAUUGAAGUAUGAGAAAGUGUUUGAUAGGAUGGCUUGUGAAGAUCUGCACUUUCAGAAUUAUUUUGAACAGAAAGAUAGCAAAGGUAAGAAGAGGGUAGGCCCCCCUGUGAAGGCAGAUUGGAGAAAUGCAUAAGCUUUUGUGCAUUUUCUUAAAAAAUUCUAUGAGACAACACUCAAAUUAAGUGCCUGGAAAUCAGUGACUGCAAAUUUGCAGUUCUCUGAGAUGAAUUGCCUUCAAACAGAGAUUGAUAACAAGGUAAAAGAUCAGUCUGAUCCUGUUCUGCAAAGGGUGGCAAUGGGGAUGAAAGAAAAAUUCAACAAGUAUUGGGACAGCUUUGAAACCAUGAACAAAAUUAUGGUGAUUGCCAAUGUCCUAGACCCACGCUGGAAGCUUCAAUAUCAGAAAAAAAGCACUUGCAAAGCUGGGAGUCGAAGCUGGUAAUGUUGAAGCAAUAACAAGGGACUUGAAGACCAUUUUGUUGAGAAUGUAUGAUGAAUAUAGGGGUUUUGAGGGAGGUUUAAGCCAACCUCUUCAAUCAGAAGGUGCUGCAACGAUAGAAGGGGUUGAUUUUGAUGAUUUAGAAGAUGGACAAGCCGAAAUACUAGCUGAUCUGAUGAAAGAAAGACUUGAAAAUGAACAAAAGAUGAUCUCAAAUGAGGUGGACAAGUACCUCGCUGAUAGACCUGUCAAUCCCUUAGUUAAAGAAUUUGAUGUUUCACAAUGGUGGAGGGUCAAUUCAUCUGCCUAUCCUAGUCUUUCAAAGCUUGCGAAAGACAUUUUUGCAAUUCCUUGCUCUACUGUGGCAAGUGAGAAUGCAUUUAGCUUGGGAAAAAGGGUAGUUAAUCUCUUUAGGAGUUCACUGACUCCUCAAAUGGUUGAGGCACUAGUCUGCACUAGUGAUUGGUUGAGAGCCGAGCAACCUAAUCUCUAUGCAGAACCAACAAAGGUGGAGAUGUCCCUGAACUAGAAGAACUACAGAGGUAAUAAUCUUAAUUUACUUGCUAUGUUUAAGAUUUUAAGUUAAUAACUUGUUACUAUAUUAACAUGGUUGUUUUGAUUGUUUUUGUGAUUAUUUUUUUUUUUUAAGACACUGCUGCGUUGCAUUUAGGAGUUCAGAACCCAGUUACAACAACUGCAACUUGAAGAUUUGGAUGCCAGAAACUAUUGGUGCUGCUGUGUUUUUGUUAAGUUAUUGAAGUGCUACAAAGAAGACCACACGAGCAGAUUUUUGUUAACAGCAAGAUAUUAUUUUGAAGUUAUGUAAUAUUCGCUACUUUCGGACUUGGGAGUAGUCCCUUAUGAUUAUUGACCUCACAUCUGUCUCCUUAGAAAGUGAGGAAUAUGAAGAUGUAUUUUUCAGAAAAUUGUUGUUGCAUCUAGUAAUUGCUCGGAAAAAAAAGAGCUUAAAACAACAUAAACAGGUAUAUGGGCAGAAAUCAAACUAUUUCUUGAGGCCCAUAAUUACUAUCGGUAUCAGCCCAACUGAAGGAUUACCAACCGUCUCUGUUGGUAACGGAUAGUGUGGUAUUGACAAGUGUCGGCAUGAUAGUGGUACUGAAUUAGUACAUGCCGUCAAGUGGUGGCAUGGCAGUGGUUUAGGCUCAAAUGUGCGAUAACCGUACCAGGGCCAGCCCUAAAACAAGGUGAAUGUAGGACGAGAAAAAUGACUUUAUAGACUUAGAAAAGCAAGCUUACAAUGUUUGAAACUCCAUGUGUUUCAGGUGCCUGAUUACCAGCUCCAAUGCCUGUAGUUACAGUGCCACCGGCAUUAAAACUUCCAAAACUCGAUGUCUUUCGAAGAGACUCAAGGUCAUACGGAACCUCCGGUACAUCUGCAAAAUGAAAACAGGUAAAUAACCAUCAAGGCUAUCAACAUUUAUCUACAGAUAAAUAAUUAAACUCCCUCACCUAAUUAUCAUACAUGAAUCUUGUACAUUAAACUAGUUAUCAAUAAGGAUGAAUUUGAUAUACAAUUUGCUCUUAAGCAGGCUAUGGGCAGUACAUAUGCAUAUAUUUCCUCUGUCUAAUUUGAUGCUGUGCAAUGCGCAAAGCAGCUUAGUUUCAUAUUGUGCGAGUGAUGUGGAAAAUAAAAGCAUAUAUACAGCAAUCAAUACAGCUGAAUUUGAUAAACAAUUUUCUAGAACAUACAUACAUUUCAAGCUGCGUAUUUUAUAAAAAGAAAAGAGUGCAAGUUCGAAACCUUCGGGAAUUGGAGGAACAGGCAGCCGGUUCUUAGUAAAAAAUGCCAACUCUUGAGUGGUGUAGAGCCUUCUAGGCGGCAGAAAAUGUUGGUUGUUGUGGAUUUGCAGGUUCGGAAGCUUCUCGACAGAAUGAAGCUUGACCAUCCAACCGUAACAGAAUGAAGCUUGACCAUCCAAAAUGUUUAAAAAACUGUUAGAAACACAAGCUCACGACACAGAUUGGGACAUUGAAGACCAGCAACAAACACAAGAAAACUUUGAAACUCCAACAAAGCCAAAAGGGGAGGGUUUAAAGU